CGGCACCUCAAGUGGUCAGGAUGAUUAUUGGGCCUAAAGCAUCCGUAGCCGGCUCUGUAAGUUUUCGGUUAAAUCUGUACGCUCAACGUACAGGCUGCCGGGAAUACUGCAGAGCUAGGGAGUGGGAGAGGUAGACGGUACUCGGUAGGAAGGGGUAAAAUCCUUUGAUCUAUUGAUGACCACCUGUGGCGAAGGCGGUCUACCAGAACACGUCCGACGGUGAGGGAUGAAAGCUGGGGGAGCAAACCGGAUUAGAUACCCGAGUAGUCC
Molecule: ribosomal RNA, 270 nt
Filed under: uncultured archaeon
Lineage: Archaea
Description: partial 16S ribosomal RNA
Rfam family: Archaeal small subunit ribosomal RNA
Source: RNAcentral